This is a long non-coding RNA of Juglans microcarpa x Juglans regia, 650 nucleotides long. RefSeq lists it as uncharacterized. The record is from RefSeq and is a predicted model, not a curated record. NCBI's taxonomy places the organism in Eukaryota, Viridiplantae, Streptophyta, Magnoliopsida, Fagales, Juglandaceae. The transcript is spliced from 4 exons.
CAAUGCUGCCGUAUUUGAAAUUAUUUAUUUAUUUUUGUUGUGUUCAUACUAUUAUGUUCCAUUGAAGGCUGGAUAAUGAUCUCGCAUAGAAAAUAUACAUUAAAGCCAACGUAACUCGAAAAGUCAUUGCUCCUUUUGCUGAACAGACGAGAUUUGAUAAAAUUUUGAUAUAUUCAAAACAGGUUGGGUACAGUCCAGAUUAACUAUUCCUUCGUUCAGAUCCUCAAGGAGCUGUUAACUUUGUGGUAAUGAUGUCUCAAAUGGAGGGAGGUUGUUAAGUUGAUUACAAUACCGUAACAGAUCUCUUUCUUCAGGUUUUCCAUGUCGGUUGAUGUGCUUUUAGUAUUGUAGCAACGAACUUGUAAAGAUUGAUGACGGAAGAUACUUGUUAUGUUUAUGUAUUUUAUAGAGCGAGGUAAACGUCUUAAAUUUUUUUUUUAUUGAUCUAUUUUGUAUUCUUUGAGGCAUUAUUUUUGCAAUGCAUAUUAUGAGAAACUUUUUUUUGACAGUCAAUUACUGCUAAAAGUAAUAUCUUAGCAAAAAAUUUUCUAUAUUUUUUUUAUUUUAAGUUUUUUACCUCCUCCUCCUCCCAUCGAAUCUCCUCUUCUCCAGUCUUUCGCUCCUUCACUUUUUCUCCUCUCUUCCACCUC